Molecule: ribosomal RNA, 469 nt
Filed under: uncultured Alphaproteobacteria bacterium
Lineage: Bacteria; Pseudomonadati; Pseudomonadota; Alphaproteobacteria
Description: bacterial SSU rRNA
Rfam family: Bacterial small subunit ribosomal RNA
Source: RNAcentral
GAGUUUGAUCGUGGCUCAGAACGAACGCUGGCGGCAUGCCUAACACAUGCAAGUCGAACGAGACCUUCGGGUCUAGUGGCGCACGGGUGCGUAACGCGUGGGAAUCUGCCCUUGGGUUCGGAAUAACAGUUAGAAAUGACUGCUAAUACCGGAUGAUGACUUCGGUCCAAAGAUUUAUCGCCCAAGGAUGAGCCCGCGUCGGAUUAGCUUGUUGGUGAGGUAAAAGCUCACCAAGGCGACGAUCCGUAGCUGGUCUGAGAGGAUGAUCAGCCACACUGGGACUGAGACACGGCCCAGACUCCUACGGGAGGCAGCAGUGGGGAAUAUUGGACAAUGGGUGAAAGCCUGAUCCAGCAAUGCCGCGUGAGUGAUGAAGGCCUUAGGGUUGUAAAGCUCUUUUACCCGGGAUGAUAAUGACAGUACCGGGAGAAUAAGCCCCGGCUAACUCCGUGCCAGCAGCCGCAGUAAC